This 1690-nucleotide long non-coding RNA is filed under the name Nicotiana benthamiana. Its description in RNAcentral is "long non-coding RNA (NBEN_LNC025736)". Lineage: Eukaryota; Viridiplantae; Streptophyta; Magnoliopsida; Solanales; Solanaceae. The record is from RNAcentral.
AUGAAAGGAAUUCUUAAAAUAAUAUCAACACUCUUAGAAAUUCCCUCCAAAGACUACAAGAUAAAGUGAAAUAUAUAACGAAAAAAGUAAAGACUAAAUCUAGAGAAAAGUUAUUUUGCUAGGUACGUAUGAUCUUCCUCCCUCCCUUUCUAUAAAAAGGAUGUCAUAUUUUUAUUGAAAGGGAGGGAGGAAGAUCAUACGUACCUAGCAAAAUAACUUUUCUCUAGAUUUAGUCUUUACAAAAUAUGACAUCCUUUUUAUAGGAAUCAAAUCUCAUAAGGUGCCAUGAUGCCUCGUGGUUCUUUUGCCAUGAUGCCCGUGCUUCUAUUGCCAUGAUCGUCGUGAUCUCUUUUUAUUCCUUUAUUUGCUUUAUCAUGAUAUUUGCAAUUCCUGCAAAAUGCUAUUAGAAAAUACAGAUAAUUGACACACACACACAUAUUAUUUAAAAUAAUUUAUUUUUAAGUAUAUAAUAUAUGAAUAUUUUAUAUCCAUCAGUUUUGUAUUACAUCCUUUCCUAAUUUUCGUUUUUGCUUAGGUAUCCCAAGAAAACUGACUUGUUUCCAAAGUUAUACCACCAAACUUUAUAGAAUUCUAAAGUGAACCCCAUCUAGAAUGUCCUAGAGGACUCCAUUCAGAUUUUAAAAGAUCCCCUACCCUUGUAUUACCCCAAUUACCUCUCUUGGUAAACUAAAAUUACUAACUAUGACCAAACAGUUUCCUAAAAUUCUAAUUUACCAAUUAUUGAAGAACAGACAUUGUUUUAUCUGUUGUGAACUCCAAAUUAACUACCAAUUACCAAAAGAACACUGAUGAAUGAUUCACUUUAUACCAAACCAAAUUAUAUUAUCAGAGGAAAGAAUACUAACACAAUCUCACUAAUAAGAACAAACAACAAACAGAACCAUAAAAGAACAGAAUCGAACAGCAAAAAUCACCUAACAAUCAUUUAACAAAAUCUAAGCUGAAUAGCUCAAAGACAAAUGUAAAAUGCGAAGCUAAUAUAUAAAUGGAAAACCUAGGCUGAAUUGUUAAAUAAUUAACACUAAUAUGCCGGAAACUGAUUCAAUUAUUAGAACGACCUAAUUAAACUAAGCGAUUAAACCAAGCAGAAAUGGUAAACGAAUUUGAACCCAAUAGGAAUUCGGAGAGAGUAAGAAGACGACAGAAAUGGAGGGGGGAUAAUAGAGGGAAAAAGACAAACAACUAUAAACACAAAAUAUAAAGAAAACUUACCAUCCUAAGAGUUCGAUUUCAAAAAUUCCAAGAAAAAGCACAGAAUCCUAACAUCGCGAGUUUCGGUUCUUCAUAUUCGACUUUUGAGGGAUUUGACUGGCAUUCGAGAGAGGGGGAGGAUAGAUACAAGGCGAGGGGGUCUGGUGGUUAAGCGGUACCAAUUUGAGGGUGAUAUAAGGAAUUUAGGGGUUCUGGUCAUGAAUUUCGAACAAAUAUUCGAGAAGAUGGGCACUAAUUCGAGGAAAACUGAGGUGAGAUAUAGAGAGAGGAAGGGGAAAGGAGCAUGGGGUGUGAUUUUGGAGUGGUUUGGAGCUUCGCCGCCGUUGUGGGCGAUUUCCGGCGGCAGUAGACGGUGGUGCAGCAGGGGGUACGAGGAAGAUGAAGAAUGUCGUUUAGGCUUAUGGGAUUUUCGAACAAUUAAAUUAAAAUGUAAUGCCCACUGGUGACCGUUGGAUCA